Molecule: non-coding RNA, 25 nt
Filed under: Cricetulus griseus (Chinese hamster)
Lineage: Eukaryota; Metazoa; Chordata; Mammalia; Rodentia; Cricetidae
Source: RNAcentral
UUGUAUUAGAUGGACAGGAAGGAUU